UAUUGGUUGAUGGGAUCGGCCAGGACAGGAUGGGAUUGUGUCCCAAGUGUAGUGUUUGGUUUGCAAUUUUGAGUUUGGGAUAAAUUAACCCAAACAGUGUUUUAACACCAAAAGACUGGGACUCAAUUGACCCAUUCCCCCCGGGUCAUAUUUGUCCCAAGCUCGAAGGUCUCUCUCGCUGGUGUCUCCCUCCCGUCGGUGUCUCUGGCUAUAUCAUUUUUGCCGGACUGUUCGCGUCUCUCACAGGAGUGGAAACUGCCAGACUUGAUAUUCAUGAGGAAGAAGGCUUAAUUUUGGAGGCUUAAACUAGAGCUAAAGCAUCCGAUUUGGAAGGUAAGUGUUCUGUUUUUGCCUAAGCAACUGAGAAUCACUUCCCAAAAGAGGCAUUCAAUAAAUGUAUAAUAAUAAAGCAGCAACGUUUUAACUAAAAGAAAACCACAAGCUUGUAAUUUCAAGAAGCUAAAAGAUAGGGUAGACAGAGACAAGACUAGAUCUUUGUGAAAGAAAAAUUAUAUCGUAGAUUCAACAAGGUUGCACAGAGACCUGAAGAUUUUUGUUUGGCAGCUGCUUGAUAUUGAAAGUGAAGUCCUCAUUCCAGGGCUUGAUAUUCACGAGGAAGAAGGCUUAAUUUUGGAGGCUUAAACUAGAGCUAAAGCAUCCGAUUUGGAAGUUCAUGUAACACCCCGUCCCGAAUCAUGUCGGAAUUUUUGCACGUUGACCGAGGUUGACCGUUGACCGUUGACCGAAGGGGUCAAAAGUUGACUUUUUGAUCUGAUUGGAAUUCUAGCUUGACUGAGGUACCGUUACGAAGUACACAUUGGCACGAGUUCGUAAACUGGUAGCACGUUGAAAACGAAGCUACAGUUUGAAAGUUAUGAGCAAAACAAGUUGAGGUCCAAACUGUCCAAGGGGUGCCGGAGUUGACUUUUUAUUCAUGCAAGGUUGAGCUUUGACUCAUGCAUGGUUGUGAAGUGUUCGUCGAUACGAGUCCGUAGACUAGCAGCACGUCCGAUUUGCACAUGUAGUUUGAAAGUUAUGGACCUGUAAAGUUUUUCAAAUACUGUAUUAUUUUAAUAUUAUUUUUACACGCAUAACGAUGUGCCACGUGUGACUCAAUGAAAGUGGCCAUGUGUCACCAUGGUGAAAUGCCACAUGUCAACCAUGUGUAAAAUCAAAUUAUUUUUAUUAUUAUUUUAAAUAAUAAUAUUAUUAUUUGAUUAUUUAAUUAUUUUUAUUUUUAUUUCUUUUAUUUAUCUUUUUCUUUUUCUUUUUCUUUUCUUUUCCCCACGUGGGAAAACACCUGUUUUUCUUUUUUUCUUUUUUUUUUCUUUUCCUUUUCUUUUCUUUUUUUCCCUUCUUCUUCCCCGAAACACACACACACACACAGUACCUUUUUUUUUUUUUUUUCUCCCACCGGCCGUCUCUCUCUCCCCCGUGUUUUCUUUUUCCGGCCACCCAUACUAUACACGCGCUGGCCAGUGAUGUGCGGAAGGAGGAGGCGAGCUCGGCCGCCAAGUUUCACGGCCAGCCGCCGCCGGACGCGCACCGAUCGGGCCGGAGAAGCCGCAGGCCUCCGGAUUUUCUCUCUCCUCUUUUCUUGUGUUUUCCGGCCAGUCCACUCCCAAUUGAGCCUCCUAUCCCCCUAUUUUGGGUCCUCUGAAUCCAAAAAUGGCCUCCAAUCCCAAAAAUUCGAAGCGGUUUGCGAGAUAUGGAGAAGUGAACACCGGCCGAACCUUUCCGGCCAAAUUCCGGCCACCUCCGGUGGAAUUGGGGUCGACGGAGACCGGAUUGGUGAUCCUCGUCCCACAAGCUUCGAUUCAGUAUAUCAUUCGCCUAUUUUGGUUAAAGUUUGCGUUUGACCCCCCGGGGACCGGGUAUUAUUUACCCGAUUAAAAUAUUAUUUUAUUUGACUGUCUGUGAAUUUUAUUCUAGGAGCACCGGUGAGUCGUAGAAUUGAUCCCGUAGUAGAUCGUGGGUUAAUUGCGUGCUCCAGGUGAGUGACCCACCUUCAAAAAUUAUUUUGAGCAAUUAAUUAAAUUUAAUUGGUAUUUAAUUUAGUAUUUAAAUUAUGCUCAUGUGGUGUGGUUUAAUUAUGGUUUUAAUGCGGUUUAAUUUAAUUUAUUUGUUAUGCAUGAGCAAGGUAUGUUUCGGUAUUAAUUUUACAUGGUUUCAAAUGUGAUUUCUCGGGCAUAAUUGGGUUAAAUAUUUUAUGAAAAUAUUUGGUUAAAUUUUAUAAAUUAUGUCCGCGGUAUUUUUAUGGUUGCAUCUCGUAUUUCGAGGAAAAUUGUGGUUUAUUGAUUAUCGCUGUUUCGUACCGGGUUAUUGGAUAAAAUAUGUGGGAUGGUGUUUUGUGAGAUUUUGGUAUACUUCCCACGGUGGUUUUUGGAAAAACGGUACGGUUGGUUACUUAUGUUUAUUUUUAGACGCACUCAUACAGUAUUGGUGUUCUGGUGUAUGGUGUAUGGACACGUGGUUUAGCACGCGGUUAUUAUAUGGUUUAGCGUGUGGUUUUUACUUCACCCGUGAGUUGCCAUUGGACCGUGGGCAGGCAAGGUUAUUGUUGCGCACAGCCGCCCCCCUCCUUGGCCGGGUGAUGGUUUUUUUAGCAGUUGGUACUGUCGGGACGCCGAAGUGACCGCUGCAGGUUUCUCUCUUUAACCCCCCGCCAGUCGGUGCUCGGGACGCUGGGUAUCGGAGGGCAUCACCGGUAUAUGGUGUGGUGCGUCAGGUGUAAUUGUCGGUGUAAAUUGCAAAUAGUAUUUUAAACCCCAAAGGUGUUCUAAAAUUAUUUAUUAUAAUUUAUUACAUUUUUAUUAUAUUUGGGGUAUUUAUUUAUUUAAUUGUUGUUUGUUAAAUUAUUUAAUCCCUUGGUUUUUGGGAGGUAUGCACAUUGGGUUUUGCGAAAAGGUUUUAAAAAGGGAACAUUUCAAACGGAGCGAUUGGUGAGAGUUUUGAGGGAAAUUAUUAUUUUCCAACAGUAAUUAUUAUUUAUUUAUUAAUUGCUAGUAUUUGUUCUAUUCCUUAAUUGCUAUUACUAUUAUUUUUAUUAUCACAAAAAGGUGUUCAGUAGUUCGGGUUACUCACGGAGAUGAUUAGCAUCUCACACUCUUAAAUUCCGUUCCCUUAGGUGCAAGUGGUGGUAGGCGUUCUUCCGGAGCGAACCAAGUUUUCCGCUGCUGUUGUGUUUCGAAAAGUUUCUUGUACUAUUUCAUUUCAGUGUAUUAUUUCUUUUAAGCCUUGUUGUAUUUCGGUUGUUUAGCACUUCUUAAAGCUCUGUAUACUAUUGGGAUACUUCUGUUUUAUUUAUGCACUGGACUGUUGUUGUUUU
This is an RNA transcript of Ziziphus jujuba (common jujube), 3328 nucleotides long. It is a transcript of the gene named protein ALP1-like, with no coding region annotated. Lineage: Eukaryota; Viridiplantae; Streptophyta; Magnoliopsida; Rosales; Rhamnaceae. The record is from RefSeq and is a predicted model, not a curated record. The transcript has 4 exons.